ACUCAAAUGAAUAGACGGGGACCCGCACAAGCGGUGGAUUAUGUGGAUUAAUUCGAUGCAACGCGAAAAACCUUACCUACCCUUGACAUGUCCGAGAGGCUCCAGAGAUGGGGCUGUGCCCGAAAGGGAAUCGGAACACAGGUGCUGCAUGGCUGUCGUCAGCUCGUGUCGUGAGAUGUUGGGUUAAGUCCCGCAACGAGCGCAACCCUUGUCAUUAGUUGCUACCCGCAAGGGAGCACUCUAAUGAGACUGCCGGUGACAAACCGGAGGAAGGUGGGGAUGACGUCAAGUCCUCAUGGCCCUUAUGGGUAGGGCUUCACACGUAAUACAAUGGCGCGUACAGAGGGUUGCCAAGCCGCGAGGUGGAGCCAAUCCCUUAAAAGCGCGUCGUAGUCCGGAUUGCAGUCUGCAACUCGACUGCAUGAAGUCGGAAUCGCUAGUAAUCGCGGAUCAGCAUGUCGCGGUGAAUACGUUCCCGGGUCUUGCACACACCGCCCGU
Molecule: ribosomal RNA, 499 nt
Filed under: uncultured bacterium
Lineage: Bacteria
Description: partial 16S ribosomal RNA
Rfam family: Bacterial small subunit ribosomal RNA
Source: RNAcentral